Molecule: ribosomal RNA, 469 nt
Filed under: uncultured bacterium
Lineage: Bacteria
Description: partial 16S ribosomal RNA
Rfam family: Bacterial small subunit ribosomal RNA
Source: RNAcentral
GACGAACGCUGGCGGCGUGCUUAACACAUGCAAGUCGAACGGAAAGGCCCUGCUUGCAGGGUGCUCGAGUGGCGAACGGGUGAGUAACACGUGGGUGAUCUGCCCCUUAUUUUGGGAUAAGCCUGGGAAACUGGGUCUAAUACUGGAUAGGACCAUGCUGUAGGUGGUGUGGUGGAAAGAUUAGUUUCGGUAAGGGAUGAGCUCGCGGCCUAUCAGCUUGUUGGUGGGGUAAUGGCCUACCAAGGCGUCGACGGGUAGCCGGCCUGAGAGGGUGGACGGCCACAUUGGGACUGAGAUACGGCCCAGACUCCUACGGGAGGCAGCAGUGGGGAAUAUUGCACAAUGGGCGCAAGCCUGAUGCAGCGACGCCGCGUGGGGGAUGACGGCCUUCGGGUUGUAAACUCCUUCCAGCCAUGACGAAGCCCUUGUGGUGACGGUAGUGGUAGAAGAAGCACCGGCUAACUACGUG